Molecule: ribosomal RNA, 216 nt
Filed under: uncultured bacterium
Lineage: Bacteria
Description: partial 16S ribosomal RNA
Rfam family: Bacterial small subunit ribosomal RNA
Source: RNAcentral
UACGUAGGGUGCAAGCGUUGUCCGGAAUUAUUGGGCGUAAAGAGCUCGUAGGCGGUUGUCGCGUCUGCCGUGAAAGUCCGGGGCUCAACCUCGGUCUGCAGUCGAUACGAGCAAACUAGAGUGUUGCAGGGAGACUGGAAUUCCGUGGUGAUAGCGGUGAAAUGCGCAGAUAUCAGGAGGAACACCGGUGGCGAAGGCGGGUCUCUGGGCGAACAA